RNAcentral lists this ribosomal RNA (496 nucleotides) under uncultured bacterium. RNAcentral describes it as "partial 16S ribosomal RNA". It matches the Rfam family "Bacterial small subunit ribosomal RNA", at positions 28 to 506 of the family's 1533-position model. The record is from RNAcentral.
GAUGAACGCUGGCGGCGUGCCUAAUACAUGCAAGUCGAGCGAACAGAUGAGGAGCUUGCUCCUCUGACGUUAGCGGCGGACGGGUGAGUAACACGUGGAUAACCUACCUAUAAGACUGGGAUAACUUCGGGAAACCGGAGCUAAUACCGGAUAAUAUAUUGAACCGCAUGGUUCAAUAGUGAAAGACGGUUUUGCUGUCACUUAUAGAUGGAUCCGCGCCGCAUUAGCUAGUUGGUAAGGUAACGGCUUACCAAGGCAACGAUGCGUAGCCGACCUGAGAGGGUGAUCGGCCACACGGGAACUGAACCGCGGUCCAGACUCCUACGGGAGGCAGCAGUGGGGAAUUUUCCGCAAGGGGCGAAACCCUGACGGGGCAACGCCGGGGGAGGGAUGAAGGUUUUCGGAUCGUAAACCUCUUUUAUUAGGGAAAAAAAAAUGGGAAAGUAAAUAUGCACGUUUUGACGGUACCUAAUCAGAAAGCCCCGGCUAACCACGG